Molecule: ribosomal RNA, 479 nt
Filed under: uncultured bacterium
Lineage: Bacteria
Description: partial 16S ribosomal RNA
Rfam family: Bacterial small subunit ribosomal RNA
Source: RNAcentral
GAUGAACGCUAGCGGGAGGCCUAACACAUGCAAGCCGAGCGGUAGAGUUCCUUCGGGAUCUUGAGAGCGGCGUACGGGUGCGUAACACGUGUGCAACCUACCUUUAUCUGGGGGAUAGCCUUUCGAAAGGAAGAUUAAUACCCCAUAAUAUAAUGAUUGGCAUCAAUUAUUAUUGAAAACUCCGGUGGAUAGAGAUGGGCACGCGCAAGAUUAGAUAGUUGGUGAGGUAACGGCUCACCAAGCCAAUGAUCUUUAGGGGUCCUGAGAGGGAGAUCCCCCACACUGGUACUGAGACACGGACCAGACUCCUACGGGAGGCAGCAGUGAGGAAUAUUGGACAAUGGGUGAAAGCCUGAUCCAGCCAUCCCGCGUGAAGGAUGACGGUCCUAUGGAUUGUAAACUUCUUUUGUACAGGGAUAAACCUACUCUCGUGAGGGUAGCUGAAGGUACUGUACGAAUAAGCACCGGCUAACUCCGUG